Molecule: long non-coding RNA, 707 nt
Organism: Macadamia integrifolia
Lineage: Eukaryota; Viridiplantae; Streptophyta; Magnoliopsida; Proteales; Proteaceae
Exons: 2
Source: RefSeq, a predicted model, not a curated record
AACUGCAAGUUCGGACAAACUCAUUCGCUCUCUCUCUCUCUCUCUCUUUCUCUCUCUCUGCCUCCCUCUGUGUGCUUCCAAACAUAAAGCCUCUCUUUGCGAAACGGUGUCUCUCUUUACCUCUACUACUGCUAUCGAUCCGUUGGGAGAAGCUAACGUCUAUCUCUGCUACUGUUAUCGAUCCGUUGGGAGAAGCUACGGCUCUCUCUGCUAAAGUUCCUCUGAGAUUGUUUGAGGUUCUCUAUUUUCUCUCUCUGCUCUUAAAUGUAAAAAUGAUUUUGGGGUUGAGGAGCAGUAAAGAAAAUUUGUCAGUUUUUAGAGUUUAGGAAGGCGUCGUGGCAUUUGGAGGAAACAAUGCGACGUGUUUCACCAUUUUUGACUAUGCUAAAACGGUUGGAGAAUACGGGAAGAGAACUAUUCAAAUUUUGGACCAGAUAGGAUUCUCCUGCCCAACAAUUAACAAUUAAUCCUGUCAGAUGCCCCUCCUUAUUGUCCAUUCAACUCAGAAUCCUAGGAGGCCAAAUGGGUUUAUUAAGAAGGAGACCUCAAGCCAAAGUGGUAUAUGUAUGUUCUGCAGAGGCCUAUGUGGGGGAGAAGAAGAAGAAAAGAAGAAAUGAGGAAGAGGGAGAGAAAGGCGUAAGCAGGGGAUGGAUCACCGAGAGUUGCAGGCGAGGUUGGCAAAAGGGGGAAGAAGAAGAAAGAAGAAA